RNAcentral lists this ribosomal RNA (1320 nucleotides) under Salmonella enterica subsp. enterica. RNAcentral describes it as "partial 23S ribosomal RNA". It matches the Rfam family "Bacterial large subunit ribosomal RNA", at positions 711 to 1927 of the family's 2925-position model. Lineage: Bacteria; Pseudomonadati; Pseudomonadota; Gammaproteobacteria; Enterobacterales; Enterobacteriaceae. The record is from RNAcentral.
AGACCCGAAACCCGGUGAUCUAGCCAUGGGCAGGUUGAAGGUUGGGUAACACUAACUGGAGGACCGAACCGACUAAUGUUGAAAAAUUAGCGGAUGACCUGUGGCUGGGGGUGAAAGGCCAAUCAAACCGGGAGAUAGCUGGUUCUCCCCGAAAGCUAUUUAGGUAGCGCCUCGUGAAUUCAUCUCCGGGGGUAGAGCACUGUUUCGGCUAGGGGGCCAUCCCGGCUUACCAACCCGAUGCAAACUGCGAAUACCGGAGAAUGUUAUCACGGGAGACACACGGCGGGUGCUAACGUCCGUCGUGAAGAGGGAAACAACCCAGACCGCCAGCUAAGGUCCCAAAGUCAUGGUUAAGUGGGAAACGAUGUGGGAAGGCCCAGACAGCCAGGAUGUUGGCUUAGAAGCAGCCAUCAUUUAAAGAAAGCGUAAUAGCUCACUGGUCGAGUCGGCCUGCGCGGAAGAUGUAACGGGGCUAAACCAUGCACCGAAGCUGCGGCAGCGAACGUAUCACCCAAGACAACUUUACGGAGUUGACGAUUGACGGAGCGAAGCGACGUCAAAGCGUUCAUUAAAGUCGAGUUGGCUUAGGGAUACGUUCGUUGGGUAGGGGAGCGUUCUGUAAGCCUGUGAAGGUGUGUCGUGAGGCAUGCUGGAGGUAUCAGAAGUGCGAAUGCUGACAUAAGUAACGAUAAAGCGGGUGAAAAGCCCGCUCGCCGGAAGACCAAGGGUUCCUGUCCAACGUUAAUCGGGGCAGGGUGAGUCGACCCCUAAGGCGAGGCCGAAAGGCGUAGUCGAUGGGAAACGGGUUAAUAUUCCCGUACUUGGUGUUACUGCGAAGGGGGGACGGAGAAGGCUAUGUUGGCCGGGCGACGGUUGUCCCGGUUUAAGGGUGUAGGUGUGUGUUCCAGGUAAAUCCGGUUCACUUUAACACUGAGGCGUGACGACGAGGCACUACGGUGCUGAAGCAACAAAUGCCCUGCUUCCAGGAAAAGCCUCUAAGCAUCAGGUAACACGAAAUCGUACCCCAAACCGACACAGGUGGUCAGGUAGAGAAUACCAAGGCGCUUGAGAGAACUCGGGUGAAGGAACUAGGCAAAAUGGUGCCGUAACUUCGGGAGAAGGCACGCUGACACGUAGGUGAAGUGAUUUACUCAUGGAGCUGAAGUCAGUCGAAGAUACCAGCUGGCUGCAACUGUUUAUUAAAAACACAGCACUGUGCAAACACGAGAGUGGACGUAUACGGUGUGACGCCUGCCCGGUGCCGGAAGGUUAAUUGAUGGGGUCAGCGUAAGCGAAGCUCCUGAUCGAAGCCCCGGUAAA